This 1080-nucleotide long non-coding RNA is filed under the name Gossypium barbadense (sea-island cotton). Its description in RNAcentral is "long non-coding RNA (GBAR_LNC000692)". Lineage: Eukaryota; Viridiplantae; Streptophyta; Magnoliopsida; Malvales; Malvaceae. The record is from RNAcentral.
UGCUGUCCUAAGCAAAUUAUUACAAUUUGCUCUUAAAUUUCCAAGUCCAAACACUUACGAACUUACCAUUUGAGUUUAAGACAUAUCAUGGCCACAUCAUAUCUUAUUAAAUCAACUCAUUAUGUCCUAUUAUGAUUGAAUUUACUCAACGUUUAAUCACUUAAAACUUACCUCGGAAGAUGCCGAACGAUUACGACGGCUAUUCGAUCACUUUUUCCUUUCCCUUAUCCAACUUUGAUCCUCUAGGCUCUUGAGCUAAAUCAAACAAUUUACUUCCCAAAUUAAACAUAGUCAUACGACAUCCAUAUACAUUUUAUACUAGCCGAAAUGUACCAUCAAGAUAUACUUUACUCAAAUAAUUUACCUUGGCCGAUCAUGUAUAAUGUUUUGUAGCUUAAUAAAUUUAACAUACAUUAUGUAUUUAUAAUAUUUGUACAGCCAAUUAUCCAUGGUCAUACACACACAAUCAAAAAUAAAUACCAAAUUUUCAUAUCCUUUAUGCCCUAAGCCGAAUACACUUGUCAUGUUCACCUACAUUUUUCAAGUACAACAUUCUCAUAUUCGGCAUUAGUAUCAAGCAUAAUAGCCAAUUCUUCCCACCUUGAAUCUAUGCAUCUAUUUAAUCAUAGUUUGUUCAAGCACUCAUACAACAAGAUACAUCCAAUUUAACAAGAAACAAAAACCUUAUUUAAUACAAUUAACACCGAAUUCCUCAUGUAAAAAGUACCAUUGCCGAAUAUCAUUUAGUUCACCUUAAUCCAUCUCAUGAUCGAAUGCCUUUAAGCUUAAUAUCAUGGUAUCGUAACUCAACAUUUAUCAAUAUGUCAUUAACAAAAUAUGCUCAUAUCAAAUUUACUCCCAAUUACAUCUCAAAAUUCAACAAGCUUAUAACUCAUUAAUAAUUAAAUUCCAUUUCAAAGUAUCAAAACAUUAUCAAAUGUAUACUCAUCCUAAAUGACCGAAUGCACAUUAACUAAGCACAUAACAAUUUUCAUUAGCCAUCGAACUCAUUCGGCAAUGAUAAGGACAAAUUUAACAAACCUUAAAUUUAACUUAUAAUUGUACAUAUCUCAUUCAAAA